GAUGAACGCUGGCGGCGUGCCUAAUACAUGCAAGUCGAGCGAACAGACGAGGAGCUUGCUUCUCUGACGUUAGCGGCGGACGGGUGAGUAACACGUGGAUAACCUACCUAUAAGACUGGGAUAACUUCGGGAAACCGGAGCUAAUACCGGAUAAUAUAUUGAACCGCAUGGUUCAAUAGUGAAAGACGGUUUUGCUGCCACUUAUAGAUGGAUCCGCGCCGCAUUAGCUAGUUGGUAAGGUAACGGCUUACCAAGGCAACGAUGCGUAGCCGACCUGAGAGGGUGAUCGGCCACACUGGAACUGAGACACGGUCCAGACUCCUACGGGAGGCAGCAGUAGGGAAUCUUCCGCAAUGGGCGAAAGCCUGACGGAGCAACGCCGCGUGAGUGAUGAAGGUCUUCGGAUCGUAAAACUCUGUUAUUAGGGAAGAACAAAUGUGUAAGUAACUAUGCACGUCUUGACGGUACCUAAUCAGAAAGCCACGGCUAACUACGUG
RNAcentral lists this ribosomal RNA (497 nucleotides) under uncultured bacterium. RNAcentral's name for it is "partial 16S ribosomal RNA". It matches the Rfam family "Bacterial small subunit ribosomal RNA", at positions 28 to 507 of the family's 1533-position model. The record is from RNAcentral.